GUGUCAGCAGCCGCGGUAAGACGAACCACACGAACGUUAUUCGGAAUUACUGGGCUUAAAGGGUGCGUAGGCUGUGCAGAAAGUUAGGUGUGAAAUCCCCCGGCUCAACCGGGGAAUUGCGCUUAAAACUACUGUGCUAGAGGAAUACAGAGGUAAGCGGAACUUCGGGUGGAGCGGUGAAAUGCGUUGAUAUCCGAAGGAACACCGGUGGCGAAAGCGGCUUACUGGGUAUUUUCUGACGCUGAUGCACGAAAGCUAGGGGAGCAAACGGGAUUAGAUACCCCGGUAGUCC
RNAcentral lists this ribosomal RNA (292 nucleotides) under uncultured bacterium. Its description in RNAcentral is "partial 16S ribosomal RNA". It matches the Rfam family "Bacterial small subunit ribosomal RNA", at positions 505 to 796 of the family's 1533-position model. The record is from RNAcentral.